This 847-nucleotide ribosomal RNA is filed under the name Micrococcus sp. RNAcentral's name for it is "bacterial SSU rRNA". It matches the Rfam family "Bacterial small subunit ribosomal RNA", at positions 18 to 876 of the family's 1533-position model. The record is from RNAcentral. Lineage: Bacteria; Bacillati; Actinomycetota; Actinomycetes; Micrococcales; Micrococcaceae.
CCUGGCUCAGGAUGAACGCUGGCCGGCGUGCUAACACAUGCAAGUCGAACGAUGAAGCCCAGCUUGCUGGGUGGAUUAGUGGCGAACGGGUGAGUAACACGUGAGUAACCUGCCCUUAACUCUGGGAUAAGCCUGGGAAACUGGGUCUAAUACCGGAUAGGAGCGUCCACCGCAUGGUGGGUGUUGGAAAGAUUUAUCGGUUUUGGAUGGACUCGCGGCCUAUCAGCUUGUUGGUGAGGUAAUGGCUCACCAAGGCGACGACGGGUAGCCGGCCUGAGAGGGUGACCGGCCACACUGGGACUGAGACACGGCCCAGACUCCUACGGGAGGCAGCAGUGGGGAAUAUUGCACAAUGGGCGCAAGCCUGAUGCAGCGACGCCGCGUGAGGGAUGACGGCCUUCGGGUUGUAAACCUCUUUCAGUAGGGAAGAAGCGAAAGUGACGGUACCUGCAGAAGAAGCACCGGCUAACUACGUGCCAGCAGCCGCGGUAAUACGUAGGGUGCGAGCGUUAUCCGGAAUUAUUGGGCGUAAAGAGCUCGUAGGCGGUUUGUCGCGUCUGUCGUGAAAGUCCGGGGCUUAACCCCGGAUCUGCGGUGGGUACGGGCAGACUAGAGUGCAGUAGGGGAGACUGGAAUUCCUGGUGUAGCGGUGGAAUGCGCAGAUAUCAGGAGGAACACCGAUGGCGAAGGCAGGUCUCUGGGCUGUAACUGACGCUGAGGAGCGAAAGCAUGGGGAGCGAACAGGAUUAGAUACCCUGGUAGUCCAUGCCGUAAACGUUGGGCACUAGGUGUGGGGACCAUUCCACGGUUUCCGCGCCGCAGCUAACGCAUUAAGUGCCCCGCCUGG